UUUACUUUUAGUUUUAGAUUUUACUUUAGUAUUUUUACCCUUGUGUUUACUUUCAUUUUUGGGUGUUUUUUUUUCGCCAGGUGAAUUUCCACCUCUAGAUGAACUUCCAGCGCUUGAUGAACUUUCACUCAUUGGUGGAUUUUUACCCGCAUGUUUACUUUCAUUUUUCGAUCCGGUCCUUGAUGAACUAGAUCUGGUCGGUGGAGCUCCUCGUGGAGGUGGAUUAUGCUCGGGCUUUACUCCCAUCCUAUGCCUACAUCACACAAAUAAGUAUACAUUUACACGUAUACAUAAGAUAUUAAUCAAGAAAACAACUUUGUACAUGUAUUCUUAUCAAUUACGUGACAAAUAUUUCCAAAGGCAGAAAGAAAGUUCUGACGAAAGACACGUAAUAAGUUAAAAUUUCUUAAGAA
Molecule: long non-coding RNA, 413 nt
Organism: Brassica rapa (field mustard)
Lineage: Eukaryota; Viridiplantae; Streptophyta; Magnoliopsida; Brassicales; Brassicaceae
Source: RefSeq, a predicted model, not a curated record